GUCAAAUAACUUUGAAGACAGAA
Molecule: small nuclear RNA, 23 nt
Filed under: Arabidopsis thaliana (thale cress)
Lineage: Eukaryota; Viridiplantae; Streptophyta; Magnoliopsida; Brassicales; Brassicaceae
Description: snRNA_03594
Source: RNAcentral